Molecule: long non-coding RNA, 665 nt
Filed under: Zonotrichia albicollis (white-throated sparrow)
Lineage: Eukaryota; Metazoa; Chordata; Aves; Passeriformes; Passerellidae
Description: lncRNA (ENSZALG00000016850.1)
Source: RNAcentral
GGAUAACAGGAGAGCAGCCCAAAAGUUCUUCACUUGAGGGAGUUUGCCCACACGCAGGAGAAUUGAAAGGCCUUUUCAUGGAGUGCAGUGACCUGCCCUGGAGGGCUCUCCCUGGCCUGUGGUUUCAUGCUCUGCAGUCUCAUCCAAGACAACUGCAUUUGGGAUUUCUCUUCCAGCCUAUUUCCUACCGAGUAAUUUGGACCUGAUCCUGCAUCCUUAAUCCUGAAGCUCCACCACAUGUGCUGGAGGGAUUCUAGGGACAAGGCUGUUCUUACAGGAGUGGAGGCACCAGAGCUGCAGGGGAGAGGCUGCCUGGAAAGUCAAAACAGGGCAGAAAGCAUCAGCUGUUCCAGGAAAUAACCUGUCUUUGCACAUUUCCUCAUGUUCAGGCUUCACUAUUAUGAAUGCAAGCACUGUGAUGAGAGAAGAGGAAAAUAAAACCAUCCUCCAUUUUGCUGAGUGCCAGCAGUGUGAACAAAAAUAUAAGGUGCUUCAGGGCAGGAAGAAACUGUGAAGAAAUAGGUUUUUGAAUUCCAUUUGUCUCGGAUUGUCUGAAAAUUGUCUCAAGAGCUGCCUUCUGGAGACAGCUGCCCUGCUCUGAGAGAGGGCAGAGACGUGUGUGGGGGUCUCAGACUGGGACAGGACUCAGGGUGCAGCUGCCUCUG